GCAGGAGUGAUGGGUGGCAUGGAAAGAGUAGGCCAAAGCUGAUUUCUUCUGUGGCUUUGUUUUACUCAGGAUGAGGAAAAUGGUGCGGAGGAGGAGGAGGAGAAUCCUGAGGACGUGGAUGAAGAAGAGGCAGGAGAAGAGGAUGAAGGUGGGAGCAGCUAAUGUGUGGGUGGGUUUGGGGAGCCAGGAUUGCAUUGCCAUGGAGACUGAAUCUCCCCUCUGGGCAUCCCCAGGGGGGCAGGUUUCCUUGAGGAUUGCCUGUAUUAACAUGUGACUUGCUGUUUUGCUUGUGUCUAGAUGGAGAUGAGAAUGGGCAGGAGCAGGACGGACAUGCAGCAAAACGAUCUGCAGAGGAAGAAGAGGAGGAUGAAGUUGAUCCAAAGAGACAGAAGACAGAAAAUGGGUCUUCGGCUUGAGUUCUCUCUUCCCAUCCUUUUCUGCUCCAUCUGUCUCUCCUCCCUCCAUUCCAGCCUGUGCUUGCACUGUCAUUUAGCCUCUGGCUUCACACAAUCUCAGAUGAGGAAGGAUUAGAAAUGCUCUCCGACAGAAGAGGGCAUGGGACUAAGUUUCCCUUCCACCCCAAGUUCUAAAGCCUUCCUACGAUGCUCUGAAAUCUGAGGUUGCCCACUCCCUCAGCCCGUCUCCACUACUGAUGACUAUUCCUGUAUCCCACUCCCAAAUAAUGCCAAUAGUCCUCAAAAUGAUGACCUGUCCUUCUCCCAACAAGCAAGGUGACAUAUCCCAACUUCCAGACUCAUCCCACAACAAGCACCUCUAAUCCCUUUUCACUUGCCACCUCUCUCCACUAAUUUGAUCAAGAUUCUCACCUGCCUCUGCUUCUGAGAUCUUCCCUCCAACAUCCUCCUUGGGAUACAGAAGGUUGAGGGCAGGGAUCUCAUGGUGAUAUUUCCCUAUCCUAAGUCUCCGCUUAACUGCCUUCUAUCUGAUCCCUCUGAGAGAGAGAGAGAAAGAAAAGGAAUGUUACAUGCAAAUAACUUUUUUUUAUUAAAGCAUACACAGAGGCUGAAAUGUAGGUACACAACAGGUAAACUGGCCCCAUGACUUUUUUUCCAGAAGAUAAAGGUUGUUUUUAUGUAUAAAUUAAUUUGUGUUGCAGUUUCUCAUUUUGGGGCUUUUUUUAAAAAAAAAAAGAAAAAAAAGAAAAAAGAGAGAGAAAUAAUUAGGGACCAAAUUUUGAUUAGCAUCCCCCUUCCAGAUUACCUUGUUGCUGUUUUUUGUAAAUUAAAGCCGAUCCAGUUAUGGCAUUUUCUAUGGCACAAACCAUCACAAGGGUGAUAGAUAUAAAUAUAUAUAUUGUUUUCAAGUAGCACUGUAAAUAAACGCAUUUAAAAAGAUAUUAAAGUGUGCA
Molecule: long non-coding RNA, 1369 nt
Filed under: Chrysemys picta bellii (western painted turtle)
Lineage: Eukaryota; Metazoa; Chordata; Testudines; Emydidae
Description: lncRNA (ENSCPBG00000027694.1)
Source: RNAcentral